GGGUGGCUAGUUCAGUGGUAGAACGCACCCCUGAUAAGGGUGAGGUCGUAGGUUCGAUUCCUACGCCACCCA
This 72-nucleotide transfer RNA is filed under the name Candidatus Parcubacteria bacterium. Its description in RNAcentral is "tRNA-Ile". It matches the Rfam family "tRNA". Rfam says of the family: Transfer RNA (tRNA) molecules are approximately 80 nucleotides in length. Their secondary structure includes four short double-helical elements and three loops (D, anti-codon, and T loops). The record is from RNAcentral. Lineage: Bacteria; Candidatus Parcubacteria.